CUCCCAAACCAUUGUGAACAUACCUUCAACGUUGCUUCGGCGGGUUGGCCCCGGUCUCCGGGGUCCCCGGCCCUACUCGGGCGCCCGCCGGAGGUAUCUAACUCUUGAACUUUUAUGGCCUCUCUGAGUCUUUGUACUUAAUAAGUCAAAACUUUCAACAACGGAUCUCUUGGUUCUGGCAUCGAUGAAGAACGCAGCGAAAUGCGAUAAGUAAUGUGAAUUGCAGAAUUCAGUGAAUCAUCGAAUCUUUGAACGCACAUUGCGCCCGCCAGUAUUCUGGCGGGCAUGCCUGUUCGAGCGUCAUUUCAACCAUCAAGCCCCCGGCUUGUGUUGGGGACCUGCGGCUGCCGCAGGCCCUGAAAACCAGUGGCGGGCUCGCUAGUCACUCCGAGCGUAGUAAUACAUCUCGCUCAGGGCGUGCUGCGGGUUCCGGCCGUUAAAAAGCCUUAUUUACCCAAGGUUGACCUCGGAUCAGGUAGGAAGACCCGCUGAACUUAAGCAUAUCAAUAAGCGGAGGA
This 518-nucleotide ribosomal RNA is filed under the name Trichocladium asperum. RNAcentral's name for it is "eukaryotic LSU rRNA". The stretch from base 150 to 303 matches the Rfam family "5.8S ribosomal RNA". Lineage: Eukaryota; Fungi; Ascomycota; Sordariomycetes; Sordariales; Chaetomiaceae. The record is from RNAcentral.